UAUUAAGAAAUCACUGAUGAUGAACUGUAAAUUCAUAUAAGUAUCAAUAUACACUUUUAACUU
Molecule: transfer RNA, 63 nt
Filed under: Oxyopes hupingensis
Lineage: Eukaryota; Metazoa; Arthropoda; Arachnida; Araneae; Oxyopidae
Description: tRNA-Tyr
Source: RNAcentral